UUAAAUUGAAGAGUUUGAUCAUGGCUCAGAUUGAACGCUGGCGGCAGGCCUAACACAUGCAAGUCGAACGGUAACAGGAAGAAGCUUGCUUCUUUGCUGACGAGUGGCGGACGGGUGAGUAAUGUCUGGGAAACUGCCUGAUGGAGGGGGAUAACUACUGGAAACGGUAGCUAAUACCGCAUAACGUCGCAAGACCAAAGAGGGGGACCUUCGGGCCUCUUGCCAUCGGAUGUGCCCAGAUGGGAUUAGCUAGUAGGUGGGGUAACGGCUCACCUAGGCGACGAUCCCUAGCUGGUCUGAGAGGAUGAC
This 309-nucleotide ribosomal RNA is filed under the name Escherichia coli. RNAcentral's name for it is "bacterial SSU rRNA". It matches the Rfam family "Bacterial small subunit ribosomal RNA", at positions 1 to 304 of the family's 1533-position model. The record is from RNAcentral. Lineage: Bacteria; Pseudomonadati; Pseudomonadota; Gammaproteobacteria; Enterobacterales; Enterobacteriaceae.